GUCUUGGUGGCUCAGUCGGUAGAAUAGAAAAGCCGCAAGCGUAGGUCUCAUAAUCCUAAGGUCGUGAGUUCGAUCCUCACCCAAGGCA
RNAcentral lists this transfer RNA (88 nucleotides) under Galdieria sulphuraria. RNAcentral describes it as "tRNA Gasu_nc0014". It matches the Rfam family "tRNA". Rfam says of the family: Transfer RNA (tRNA) molecules are approximately 80 nucleotides in length. Their secondary structure includes four short double-helical elements and three loops (D, anti-codon, and T loops). The record is from Rfam by way of RNAcentral. Lineage: Eukaryota; Rhodophyta; Bangiophyceae; Galdieriales; Galdieriaceae.